UCAAGCUAUGAUGUCCAACUUGCCCUAUCUGAGAACUGUGUUCGAUUGUGAGACCUUCACUGUACUCAUAUUAUCUGAGCUUGA
Hyla sarda is the source of this 84-nucleotide small nucleolar RNA. RefSeq annotates it as small nucleolar RNA SNORD103/SNORD85. The transcript has a single exon. The record is from RefSeq and is a predicted model, not a curated record. NCBI's taxonomy places the organism in Eukaryota, Metazoa, Chordata, Amphibia, Anura, Hylidae.